UGCAUUAGCAAGCAAUCUUGAAGAAGUCAUGACAAUUCUCAUCCACUCACCAAUAUUCAUCUCAUGUGUGAGUUGGAAGAAGUACUCAUCUAACCUAUCUACAAUUUUUCUAGCAAUGUUUGAGGAUUAAAAACUCUAAUUCUAUACCAUCGAAAGCAAUUAAAUUGCAAAAAGGAAAAUAGACACAAAAGAAACACGCAAGAUUUAUAAAAGAUUGUCUCAAACGUAAGACUACGCCCUCUUACGCAACUGUAAUAACUCGCUAUGAUAAAAAAGAAAUUUACAAGAUAAAAUCGCAUAUCCUAUCUUCUCUGACAUCUCUCUCUUUUGAUGAUAAUAUAAGACCCUAAUAUUUAUAAGACAAAUUAGGGCAAACUCCAAGAGUUCAAUCCGUGUAUUGGCUCCUCACAGGGAAAUAAUUAGGAUCCACAACUUAACAGGAAUAUGUUAACACUUUUAAUGUUACACAGUAUAGCGAACUUCAACUUUCGUUGAUAGAUCAAUUUGAUUGAUUUUGCCACACUGGAAGCUGAAACAUGUGUAUUAGCUUAAAAGGAUUGAUUUUGCAAGUCCGAAAUAUGUAAUCUGCUGGCUGAGGUCUUUGUGAAUUAGAACCUAUGAAUUUUAACUAAUCUGUCACCUUUUUUCUUCUUGGGAAAGCUCUUCAACUGAAUCAUAUCUUCUUUAUAGCAAUUUCCUUUGCAUUGCAUCCCAAGAAAACCAUCGGGUCUAGCCACGUGACUCUCACCCGCUAUCGACAAAAUCAUGAAAAACACGUAUAUACAAAGAAGAGCGAACAAUAAGUAACAUUCAUUCAGAGAACACAAGCACUUUCUCGUGUAACUGACCUAUUGUUUUCCACUUGUGCAUCGUAGGGCGUAGAUGAAAAGCACUCUCGGCACACCACCUAACGUACGGUUGAGUGUGCAAGAGCAUUUUCUUUUUCAGGAAACAUAAUCUACCUGAAUCCCUCUUGUUAUAAAGGGAAGGAGGAAACCAAGUUUCAUUCUUUUGCAAAAUCGAAGUACAGACUCUUCCUCCCACGUCGCUCCUCUUUACUAGUUUAACAGCCUGAAAUGGUCCUUCAACUAACUAUUCUACUUUCGACCCAACUUCAUUCCUCAAAUCUUGACCGCCUUCUUUGUGCAAUCUCUAUCCACACCAUUGUCGCUGAGUUAGUUCAUCAACUCUAUAAAGAGAGAAUAAAAGUCAGGCAAAGUACGUGGAACUGAUUUUCAUGAUUGAAUUUUUAGGUUCUAAUUUCCUAAAUGAUUUGGUUUCUCCACUCCAUUUUUUAUGGUUUGUGUUAAAGGUGUUAAUAGUUUGCUGGAUGGCCCGUCCUCCAUGGCUGAACUGAAGCCUUUGUAACUCACGAGCUUAACGAGAGUGACCACUAGGAAGAAAUCAUAAUAUCCUUAUCACCUACAAAAACUGCCUAUUAUGAAGACUAGCCAGAAAUCCUUCUCAAAGUGGAGGGACUGAGAUUCUAGGAAGAAAGUUUUUCCCAAGGUUCGGCCCGAAAAUUGGAUUCAAUAUAUACUUGGUGACUAUUAUGGAGAAUAAAAGGGUGUCAGCAGGCUUUUUAAUUAGAAGGGAAUGAAUGGGAACAGGCUCUGUUGCCGAUAUUCCUUCUUAAGUCUAAUAGAGGCAUGGCGGCUGGGGCAGAAAAAAGGAAAGCAAAACAGUUUCUAGUAAAACCAAUCGUUUGAGAUAAGCUCGGGAACCCACAAAUUGUGUGGACCAGAUUCACACAACUAUGGACCCCACAACUUAUUUGGCUUAUAUGAUGAUGCAGGAGG
RNAcentral lists this long non-coding RNA (1799 nucleotides) under Olea europaea subsp. europaea. Lineage: Eukaryota; Viridiplantae; Streptophyta; Magnoliopsida; Lamiales; Oleaceae. The record is from RNAcentral.